Molecule: unclassified non-coding RNA, 204 nt
Filed under: Hevea brasiliensis (rubber tree)
Lineage: Eukaryota; Viridiplantae; Streptophyta; Magnoliopsida; Malpighiales; Euphorbiaceae
Source: RNAcentral
CGGGAUAGGAAUGUUCUUCAAAGAGGAAAUUCUCAAAUGUUUAGAAGAACAAAAGGAAAAAGGGCACAGCUCAUGGUGAAGAAAAAUGUAUCACCAUUGGGUUCAUUGAUGAUGAAGAAAAACCUGAGCAAGUAAUUACUGGGUCAUCAAGUGAUGAUGAGGGCAAUUAUCAAAACCUAGAUCUUGCAAACCCGGAGAUGAAGA